GUAUUUAAAAACCCACAAAGCAGCACAUAUACUAAAAAUACUACAGAAGAGAUUAGCAUUGCCCUGUGCAAGAAUGAGAUGCUGAUUCAUGAAUCAUUCCAUAGUUUU
Small nuclear RNA from Balaenoptera musculus (blue whale), 108 nucleotides. NCBI's taxonomy places the organism in Eukaryota, Metazoa, Chordata, Mammalia, Artiodactyla, Balaenopteridae. The record is from Ensembl.